Molecule: transfer RNA, 73 nt
Filed under: Chlamydiota bacterium
Lineage: Bacteria; Pseudomonadati; Chlamydiota
Also listed under: 1 other name
Description: Chlamydiae bacterium tRNA-Met
Rfam family: tRNA
About the family: Transfer RNA (tRNA) molecules are approximately 80 nucleotides in length.
Source: RNAcentral
GGGGCAAUAGCUCAGUGGUUAGAGCAACGGACUCAUAACCCGUCGGUCCCUGGUUCAAGUCCAGGUUGCCCCA